GAUAUCCCAAUUUUCCUUCACAUUUUUCCUUUUUUUCUCCCUUUCUUUCUCUUCUAUUCAUUCCCAAAGGUUCAUAAAGCGAUAAUUAGGCAUUUUUCUUCUUUAUUUAGGCUUGGUACAUAAUAAAAGACAUAGAUAAUUACAGAAAACACUAAAAACAGACAUAUUGAUCCGCGAGAUAUCCAUAUUUCUUCACAUUUUUCCUUUUUUCUCCCUUUCUUUCUCUUCUAUAUAUUCCCAAAGGUUCAUAAGACGAUAAUUAGGCAUUUUUCUUCUUUAUUCAGGCUUGGUACAUAAUAAAAGACAUAUUUACUCAGAGAAAACACUAAAAACAGACAUAUUGAUCCGCGAGAUAUCCCAAUUUUCCUUCACCCUUUUCCUUUUCUCUCCUUUUCCUGCUCUCCUAUAUAUUCCCAAAGGUUCAUAAGGCGAUAAUUAGGCUUUCUUCUUCUUUAUUUAGGCUUGGUACAUAAUAAAAGACAUAGAUAAUUACAGAAAACACUAAAAACAGACAUAUUGAUCCGCGAGAUAUCCAUAUUUCUUCACAUUUUUCCUUUUCUCUCCUUUUCCUGCUCUCCUAUAUAUUCCCAAAGGUUCAUAAGACGAUAAUUAGGCAUUUUUCUUCUUUAUUUAGGCUUGGUACAUAAUAAAAGACAUAUAUAAUUACAGAAAACACUAAAAACAGACAUAUUGAUCCGCGAGAUAUCCCAAUUUUCCUUCACAUUUUUCCUUUUUUCUCCCUUUCUUUCUCUUCUAUAUAUUCCCAAAGGUUCAUAAGACGAUAAUUAGGCUUUCUUCUUCUUUAUUUAGGCUUGGUACAUAAUAAAAGACAUAGAUAAUUAGAGAAAACACUAAAAACAGACAUAUUGAUCCGCGAGAUAUCCCAAUUUUCCUUCACAUUUUUCCUUUUUUCUCCCUUUCUUUCUCUUCUAUAUAUUCCCAAAGGUUCAUAAGACGAUAAUUAGGCUUUCUUCUUCUUUAUUUAGGCUUGGUACAUAAUAAAAGACAUAAAUAAUUAGAGAAAACACUAAAAACAGACAUAUUGAUCCGCGAGAUAUCCAUAUUUCUUCACAUUUUUCCUUUUUUCUCCUUUUCCUGCUCUGCUAUAUAUUCCCAAAGGCUCAUAAGGCGAUAAUUAGGCAUUUUUCUUCUUUAUUCAGGCUUGGUACAUAAUAAAAGACAUAUUUACUCAGAGAAAACACUAAAAACAGACAUGUUGAUCCACGAGAUAUCCAUAUUUCUUCAUUUUUCCUUUUUUCUCCCUUUCUUUCUCUUCUAUAUAUUC
This is a long non-coding RNA of Eriocheir sinensis (Chinese mitten crab), 1285 nucleotides long. RefSeq lists it as uncharacterized. The record is from RefSeq and is a predicted model, not a curated record. Lineage: Eukaryota; Metazoa; Arthropoda; Malacostraca; Decapoda; Varunidae. The transcript is spliced from 3 exons.